GACGGGGGAGGCAAGCGUUAUCCGGAAUUAUUGGGCGUAAAGGGUACGUAGGCGGCUGGUCAAGUCUGGGGUCAAAGGCCACAGCUCAACUGUGGGAAGGCCCUGGAAACUGACCGGCUAGAGUGAGGUAGGGGUUGCGGGAAUUCCCGGUGUAGCGGUGAAAUGCGUAGAGAUCGGGAAGAACACCUGAGGCGGAAGCGCGCAACUGGGCCUCAACUGACGCUGAGGUACGCAAGCUAUCGGGGCGAAUGGG
RNAcentral lists this ribosomal RNA (253 nucleotides) under uncultured bacterium. RNAcentral's name for it is "partial 16S ribosomal RNA". It matches the Rfam family "Bacterial small subunit ribosomal RNA", at positions 524 to 776 of the family's 1533-position model. The record is from RNAcentral.